Molecule: ribosomal RNA, 207 nt
Filed under: uncultured bacterium
Lineage: Bacteria
Description: partial 16S ribosomal RNA
Rfam family: Bacterial small subunit ribosomal RNA
Source: RNAcentral
AGCGCAGGCGGGAAGACAAGUUGGAAGUGAAAUCCAUGGGCUCAACCCAUGAACUGCUUUCAAAACUGCUUUUCUUGAGUAGUGCAGAGGUAGGCGGAAUUCCCGGUGUAGCGGUGGAAUGCGUAGAUAUCGGGAGGAACACCAGUGGCGAAGGCGGCCUACUGGGCACCAACUGACGCUGAGGCUCGAAAGUGUGGGGAGCAAACA